This 118-nucleotide ribosomal RNA is filed under the name Lates calcarifer (barramundi perch). Lineage: Eukaryota; Metazoa; Chordata; Actinopteri; Centropomidae. The record is from RNAcentral.
GCUUACGGCCACACCACCCUGAGCGCGCCCGAUCUCGUCUGAUCUCGGAAGCUAAGCAGGGUCGGGCCUGGUUAGUACUUGGAUGGGGACCGCCUGGGAAUACCAGGUGCCGUAAGCU